UACGUAGGGCGCAAGCGUUGUCCGGAUUUAUUGGGCGUAAAGAGCUCGUAGGCGGUUUGUCGCGUCUUCCGUGAAAACUGGGGGCUUAACUUCCAGCUUGCGGUGGAUACGGGCUGACUGGAGUGCGGCAGGGGAGACUGGAAUUCCUGGUGUAGCGGUGAAAUGCGCAGAUAUCAGGAGGAACACCAGUGGCGAAGGCGACUACCUGGCCUGUUUCUUGACGCUGAGGCGCGAAAGCUAGGGGAGCAAACGGG
RNAcentral lists this ribosomal RNA (254 nucleotides) under uncultured bacterium. RNAcentral describes it as "partial 16S ribosomal RNA". It matches the Rfam family "Bacterial small subunit ribosomal RNA", at positions 524 to 776 of the family's 1533-position model. The record is from RNAcentral.